UCUCAGAUAGUUUAGCUGGAAGAGCGCUUGGUGCGUAAUCAAAAAAUCCGGGUUCGAUUUCCGGUCCGGGUG
This 72-nucleotide transfer RNA is filed under the name Cotesia glomerata. RNAcentral describes it as "tRNA-Thr". Lineage: Eukaryota; Metazoa; Arthropoda; Insecta; Hymenoptera; Braconidae. The record is from RNAcentral.